UGUUAACUGAUGGACUGGAGUGCUGUGGAUUAUUGUGAUGUUUUUAUCAGCUGUUGGGACUCUCAUUCUGACGGCACCCAUUCACUACAGAGGAUCCACUGGUGAUGCAAUGCUACAUUUCUCCAAAUCUGUCCCAAUGAAGAAACAAACUCAUCUACUUCUUGGAUGGCCGGAGGCCGUCUCAUCACAAGAGAAGCACAGAGCCUGGAGGAGGCCCAGACGCUGAUAAUCAGAGACGCAGCUGUCUCUCUUCAGCCGGAAUUACUGUGGCUUUAGAAGGAACUCAAGGACGAACAGGGAUGGAGUGUCUUUCGGAUUCAUCCUCUGAGACACAGUUGGGUCUUUCUGUAUUAAACCAUAUAUCCAAAGACACAGAUAGAGAGAAGUUUUCCUUUCCUU
This is a long non-coding RNA of Carassius carassius (crucian carp), 399 nucleotides long. RefSeq lists it as uncharacterized. Lineage: Eukaryota; Metazoa; Chordata; Actinopteri; Cypriniformes; Cyprinidae. The record is from RefSeq and is a predicted model, not a curated record. The transcript has 3 exons.